UCGUAAAAUAUCAGCUGCGAGACAUAAUAUGAAGCUUUUUGUCGAGUGAGCGUAGCGAACGAGAUGAAAAAGCCUUCAUAUAAUGUCAAGCAGCUGAUAUUUUACAAUAUCAAUAUGCAGAUAAUCUGAUAAUCGAUUUAUCGGGCUAUAUUUGCGUGUUUCAGAAGUGUUUUCUUUGUUUCACCAGCACACAAAAGAUGACUUGAUAAGUUCGGGUCAAAGUUAUUAACGUCGGUUCAAACAUUAUGACGUCGCUGAUAUGUCCGGGUCAAAGUUAUUAAGGCCGGGUCAACGUAUUUGACGUCACAAAGACAUGAUACGGAAAAAUAUUAAGAACUGAACAGAGUGAUAUAGACAGUGGGACGACCGAUAAACGAUUUUAUCUUUCCCUUUCGGUGAAACCUCUGUUAACGGUUGCUAUAUACCUCUAUUUGCUAUUUCU
RNAcentral lists this long non-coding RNA (442 nucleotides) under Mytilus galloprovincialis (Mediterranean mussel). The record is from RNAcentral. Lineage: Eukaryota; Metazoa; Mollusca; Bivalvia; Mytilida; Mytilidae.